CCUACGGGAGACAGCAGUGAGGAAUAUUGGUCAAUGGCCGAGAGUCUGAACCAGCCAAGUCGCGUGAGGGAAGAAUGUCCUAUGGAUUGUAAACCUCUUUUGUCAGGGAGUAAAGUCACCCACGUGUGGGUGUUUGUGAGUACCUGAAGAAUAAGCAUCGGCUAACUCCGUGCCAGCAGCCGCGGUAAUACGGAGGAUGCGAGCGUUAUCCGGAUUUAUUGGGUGUAAAGAGUUGCGUAGGUGGCAUAAUAAGUAGCUAGUGAAAUCUGGUGGCUCAACCAUUCAGACUAUUAGCUAAACUGUUAAGCUCGAGACCGUUAGGGGUAACUGGAAUUUCUAGUGUAGGAGUGAAAUCCGUAGAUAUUAGAAGGAACACCAAUAGCGUAGGCAGGUUACUGGGACGGUUCUGACACUAAGGCACGAAAGCGUAGGGAGCAAACGGGAUUAGAUACCCGUGUAGUC
This 462-nucleotide ribosomal RNA is filed under the name uncultured bacterium. RNAcentral's name for it is "partial 16S ribosomal RNA". It matches the Rfam family "Bacterial small subunit ribosomal RNA", at positions 338 to 795 of the family's 1533-position model. The record is from RNAcentral.